Molecule: ribosomal RNA, 527 nt
Filed under: Priestia megaterium
Lineage: Bacteria; Bacillati; Bacillota; Bacilli; Caryophanales; Bacillaceae
Description: bacterial SSU rRNA
Rfam family: Bacterial small subunit ribosomal RNA
Source: RNAcentral
AUACAUGCAGUCGAGCGAACUGAUUAGAAGCUUGCUUCUAUGACGUUAGCGGCGGACGGGUGAGUAACACGUGGGCAACCUGCCUGUAAGACUGGGAUAACUUCGGGAAACCGAAGCUAAUACCGGAUAGGAUCUUCUCCUUCAUGGGAGAUGAUUGAAAGAUGGUUUCGGCUAUCACUUACAGAUGGGCCCGCGGUGCAUUAGCUAGUUGGUGAGGUAACGGCUCACCAAGGCAACGAUGCAUAGCCGACCUGAGAGGGUGAUCGGCCACACUGGGACUGAGACACGGCCCAGACUCCUACGGGAGGCAGCAGUAGGGAAUCUUCCGCAAUGGACGAAAGUCUGACGGAGCAACGCCGCGUGAGUGAUGAAGGCUUUCGGGUCGUAAAACUCUGUUGUUAGGGAAGAACAAGUACAAGAGUAACUGGUUGUACCUUGACGGCACCUAACCAGAAAGCCACGGGUAACUACGUGCCAGCCCCCCCCCCUAAUACGUAAGAGGCCAGCGGUAUUCGGAAUUAUUGGGC